Molecule: non-coding RNA, 172 nt
Filed under: Desulfobaculum bizertense DSM 18034
Lineage: Bacteria; Pseudomonadati; Thermodesulfobacteriota; Desulfovibrionia; Desulfovibrionales; Desulfovibrionaceae
Description: Desulfovibrio bizertensis DSM 18034 Bacterial small subunit ribosomal RNA
Rfam family: Bacterial small subunit ribosomal RNA
Source: Rfam by way of RNAcentral
AAACUGGAGAGUUUGAUUCUGGCUCAGAUUGAACGCUGGUGGCGUGCUUAACACAUGCAAGUCGAGCGAGAAAGCUUCUUCGGAAGUGAGUAGAGCGGCGCACGGGUGAGUAACGCGUGGAUAAUCUACCUAGAAGACUGGGAUAACAGUUGGAAACGACUGCUAAUACCGG